CAAGUAGGCGGUUUAUUAAGUGAGGGGUGAAAUCUUCCGACUCAAUCGGAAAACUGCCUUUCAAACUGAUAGACUUGAGGCAGGUAGAGGGAAAUGGAAUUCCAGGUGUAAGGGUGAAAUCUGUAGAUAUCUGGAAGAACACCGGCGGCGAAGGCGAUUUCCUGGGCCUGUCCUGACGCUAAACUGCGAAAGCUAGGGGAGCAAACAGGAUUAGAUACCCUGGUAGUCC
This 229-nucleotide ribosomal RNA is filed under the name uncultured bacterium. RNAcentral describes it as "partial 16S ribosomal RNA". It matches the Rfam family "Bacterial small subunit ribosomal RNA", at positions 568 to 796 of the family's 1533-position model. The record is from RNAcentral.